AUACUUACCUGGCAGAGGGGAUACCAUGACCAUGAAGGCAGUUUUCCCUGGGUGAGGUUUAUCUGCUGCACUCUGGAUGUGCUGGCCCCUGUGAUUUCCCAAAUGUGGGAAACUCCACUGGACAAUUUGUGGUAGUGGGCAGCUGCGUCCUCACUCUCCCCU
Molecule: small nuclear RNA, 162 nt
Organism: Phyllostomus discolor (pale spear-nosed bat)
Lineage: Eukaryota; Metazoa; Chordata; Mammalia; Chiroptera; Phyllostomidae
Product: U1 spliceosomal RNA
Exons: 1
Source: RefSeq, a predicted model, not a curated record